Molecule: non-coding RNA, 204 nt
Filed under: Clostridia bacterium
Lineage: Bacteria; Bacillati; Bacillota; Clostridia
Description: 6S RNA
Rfam family: 6S / SsrS RNA
About the family: E. coli 6S RNA was the first non coding RNA to be sequenced, but its function was unknown until recently. It consists of 184 nucleotides that fold into an extended hairpin structure with a large single-stranded internal bulge. The 6S RNA specifically associates with RNA polymerase holoenzyme containing the sigma70 specificity factor.
Source: RNAcentral
AACUUCCUACCCAAUUCGCGGACCGCGUUAAAUAACCCUACACCUUUAUAAAAGGGAGUUUGACUCCGUGUGCGGGAUGCAGACCUCCCGGUACGGCUUAACUGACCGGUUACUGGACGAAGGGAGCGCGAAACACAAGGGCAGACACCCACCUGCUUUUUAGUAGCAGGUUAUGAAUACGCGUUACGGUUGGGUGGGGCUACU